This 396-nucleotide ribosomal RNA is filed under the name Triticum aestivum (bread wheat). RNAcentral's name for it is "partial small subunit ribosomal RNA". Lineage: Eukaryota; Viridiplantae; Streptophyta; Magnoliopsida; Poales; Poaceae. The record is from RNAcentral.
AUGGGGUGAAGCACAGUUAAUCCUAUUUGGAGUAAGAUAUGGAAGUUAUCGUGUCCGGUAAAAGUCAAAAUUUUUAUAUGGCGUACAUUACAUGGAACGCUUCCAUGUCGGGUUACGCUCGCAAAUAGACAUAUGAAGGUCACGCCCAUUCGCCCUACUUGCUCUGAGGGUUCUGAAGAUACAAAGCAUAUGCUUUUCCUUUGCAGUAGAGCAAAGGAGGUUUGGACCAGGCUGGGGAUGGAUGAUAUCAUUGAUAAAGCUUGCAAGGUUGACCUUGCUGGAGAGGUGGUGCUGGAAUACCUACUACUUCUGCCAGACCAAGAGUUGAGGAUAAUGGGUCAUCACAAUGUGCGUGAAAUGAUUGCUGUUUCAGCAUGGUAUCUAUGGUGGGAAAGA